UCAUUUGUAGAUCAUAUAUGUAACAUUGCAAGAUUUAUUUUUUAACUACUUGAAUGACAUCUUCGUCAUGCAUGACAUGUUGCAAUCCUACUCUCUGAGGUGAAUAUUUUGUACUUGUACCCUGAAAAAAAGAAAAUAAUAUUUUACCUAAGGAAUAGAAUAUUAAUAUUUGUUGUUUAAUAAGCGAAUAACUUACCCAAACAAGAGCAUAUUUAAAUUGUUGAGCAAGUGUGCGAUGAAUAGCAUGGCAAACAUGCUCCACAGUAACACCUUUUCGUAAUAUUAAGCCAUCGUCAAAGUCUGGUGGUUGACCAGGUUUUUUCGUAUAUACCCUUAUCAAAGAUAGAUAUUCCCAGAGUGUUUCAAGUAAGAAAUCCAGAUUCAAUUUCAUAUUACAACUGCAACAUAAAAGCAUGUCAUAAAUGUUAAUUGUUCCAAUGAUUCUAUCAUCUUAGAAGUACUUCUUUCCAUCACAAAGUAGCAAUACAUUUAGAAGCUUUACCUAACUACUGCACUAUUAGGUUGUCUAGCAAUUCUGUCCACUUCUUCUAUCGAUAUUUGAUCUAUUUUGUUAUGUACAUAGAGGCAUGGCAAAUAUACUCUGUUAGCGUUAAUUACGUCGAUUAACUCAUCCGCGGUACAAUCUUCACGAAACAAGACUUCCGCGUUGAAGAUCUUGUAUUCAUGCAGAAUCAUUUGAACUAAUUUCUCAUCUACUUUUGUUAAUGGACACGUUGAAUUGAAGGCUAAUCCACCUCCCUUCUUCACUUUAAAAUAAAUGUUUGGUUUCUUUUUAUUUAACCGAAUGCCAACUGAUUCUAAUUCUUUCUCUAAUAGUUGCCUUUGUACAUCUUGCUUGGUUGCAUCCAGCAUCAUAAGAACUAAGUCUGCUGUUCUAGCAACAGCAAUCACCUGUCUGCCUCUUCCUUUGCCCUAAAAUAUUCAUUCAGAAGCAUGAAAUUUUAGUUAAUUGCAAGUAUCAUCGGAUUACUAGAAUAUUUGCUUACUUUCAUCAGUUCAAAGGUAAUAUCGAAAUGUCUAUACAAAAUUACCUGUGCUGCACCCUCAAUUAUACCAGGAAGAUCAAGGAGUUGAAUAUUAGCUCCUUUAUAUUCUAUUACACCAGGAAUGCAGGUCAAUGUAGUGAAUUCGUAAGAUGCUGCUUCUGAUUCUGUAUGGAUUUCUUUCCUGGCUCCAAAAGUUGUGACCUAUACUUUGCAAGUUUUGCUUUUAAUAAUCCUAGAUGAUACUCGGUGGCUGAAAAUCAAUACGUAUAUUAGCUGGUAAUGUAAGAUAAUAUAUUAGUGUAUUAAAAUUGCUAUAAUUUUGUUUUUUAUAGAAGGUUAUUUUUACAAUCCCAUGUACUUAUAAAAAAAAGUUAUUGUUUUAUUAAAACCUAUUAUAAACCAUAAAUAGUUAAAUAUUAUAUUUAUUAACGUAAUAAACAUUGUAGUAUUGUUACCGGUAUAUUUAAUACGUUAAAAUACACUUAAAAAAAGAGUA
Megalopta genalis is the source of this 1503-nucleotide non-coding RNA. Lineage: Eukaryota; Metazoa; Arthropoda; Insecta; Hymenoptera; Halictidae. The record is from RefSeq and is a predicted model, not a curated record.